GGUUGUGGCUCAAUGGCAGAGCGCUUGCCUUGCACAUGUGAGGCACUAGGUUCAAUCCUUAGCACCA
This 67-nucleotide transfer RNA is filed under the name Marmota monax (woodchuck). Its description in RNAcentral is "tRNA.Ala". The record is from RNAcentral. Lineage: Eukaryota; Metazoa; Chordata; Mammalia; Rodentia; Sciuridae.